UACGAAGGGGGCUAGCGUUGUUCGGAAUUACUGGGCGUAAAGCGCGCGCAGGCGGUCUUCCAAGUCAGUGGUGAAAGCCCGGAGCUCAACUCCGGAACUGCCAUUGAAACUGUAAGACUUGAGGAUGAGAGAGGUGAGUGGAAUUCCCAGUGUAGAGGUGAAAUUCGUAGAUAUUGGGAAGAACACCGGUGGCGAAGGCGGCUCACUGGCUCAUAUCUGACGCUCAGGCGCGACAGCGUGGGGAUCAAGCAGG
RNAcentral lists this ribosomal RNA (253 nucleotides) under uncultured bacterium. Its description in RNAcentral is "partial 16S ribosomal RNA". It matches the Rfam family "Bacterial small subunit ribosomal RNA", at positions 524 to 776 of the family's 1533-position model. The record is from RNAcentral.